CUUAAGAAGAAUUAAUCGAACUAUUCGAAGAUAGUUUAUUUAAAAUAAACUGCAAUUGAAAAAAAUGAAUACAUUCCUGGUUGUCUGUUCAAGAAACUUAUCCAAUUGUUUCCAAUGCAGCAGCUGUAAAGAUGUUACUUCCAUCCAUUUCAUCAUAUAAAUGUGAAGUUGAAAUUUCAGCAAUGGUUGCUAUCAAAACCAAUUACGGAGAAAAUUGGUAUAGUCAAAC
This is a non-coding RNA of Cinara cedri, 229 nucleotides long. NCBI's taxonomy places the organism in Eukaryota, Metazoa, Arthropoda, Insecta, Hemiptera, Aphididae. The record is from the annotation of a GenBank genome assembly.